CCCAGAAUUGUUUCUCAAGAUAGUUCACCACAUUCUUGUCCAAUUGGAAUGCCUUGGCCAGAACAUCAGGGUUAAUUGGUGGAUUGGAUCCAAACACUGCAUUUGCAAUUGUGAUGACUCCUGGAUUUUGGCUGCUCAGUGCAGCAAUAGCAACUGCAUUAGUAUUUCCAAUGUUGAACUGAAAGUGAAUCAGACCAAUCGGAAAUAC
RNAcentral lists this unclassified non-coding RNA (208 nucleotides) under Hevea brasiliensis (rubber tree). Lineage: Eukaryota; Viridiplantae; Streptophyta; Magnoliopsida; Malpighiales; Euphorbiaceae. The record is from RNAcentral.